AGCAGCCGCGGUAAUUCCAGCUCCAAUAGCGUAUAUUAAAGUUGUUGCAGUUAAAAGCUCGUAGUUGAAUUUCGGGGUUAGCAGGUCGGUCGUGCCAUCGGUAUGAACUGGUCUCGCUGAUCCCUCCCUCUUGACGAACUGUGAUGCCAUUAAUUUGGUGUCGCAGGGAAUCAGGACUGUUACUUUGAAAAAUUGAGUGUUUAAAGCAGGCUCACGCUUGAAUACAUUAGCAUGGAAUAAUGAAAUAGGACGUUUGAUCCUAUUUUGUUGGUUUCUAGGAUUGACGUAAUGAUUAAUAGGGAUAGUUGGGGGCAUUAGUAUUCAAUUGUCAGAGGUGAAAUUCUUGGAUUUAUUGAAGACUAACUACUGCGAAAGCAUUUGCCAAGGAUGUUUUCAUUAAUCAAGAACGAAAGUUAGGGGAUCGAAGACGAUCAGAUACCGUCGUAGUCUUAACCAUAAACUAUGCCGACUAGGGAUCGGAUGAUGUUAAUUUUUAAUGACUCAUUC
RNAcentral lists this unclassified non-coding RNA (507 nucleotides) under uncultured Glomus. RNAcentral's name for it is "SSU rRNA". It matches the Rfam family "Eukaryotic small subunit ribosomal RNA", at positions 569 to 1081 of the family's 1831-position model. The record is from RNAcentral. Lineage: Eukaryota; Fungi; Glomeromycota; Glomeromycetes; Glomerales; Glomeraceae.